GGUCCUAUGGUGUAAUGGUUAGUACUUUGGACUUUAAAUCCAGCGAUCCGAGUUCAAAUUUCGGUAGGAUCU
RNAcentral lists this transfer RNA (72 nucleotides) under Saccoglossus kowalevskii. RNAcentral's name for it is "tRNA-Tyr". It matches the Rfam family "tRNA". From Rfam's summary of the family: Transfer RNA (tRNA) molecules are approximately 80 nucleotides in length. Their secondary structure includes four short double-helical elements and three loops (D, anti-codon, and T loops). Further hydrogen bonds mediate the characteristic L-shaped molecular structure. tRNAs have two regions of fundamental functional importance: the anti-codon, which is responsible for specific mRNA codon recognition, and the 3' end, to which the tRNAs corresponding amino acid is attached (by aminoacyl-tRNA synthetases). tRNAs cope with the degeneracy of the genetic code in two manners: having more than one tRNA (with a specific anti-codon) for a particular amino acid; and 'wobble' base-pairing, i.e. permitting non-standard base-pairing at the 3rd anti-codon position. The record is from RNAcentral. Lineage: Eukaryota; Metazoa; Hemichordata; Enteropneusta; Harrimaniidae.